Long non-coding RNA from Octopus bimaculoides (California two-spot octopus), 5398 nucleotides. RefSeq lists it as uncharacterized. The record is from RefSeq and is a predicted model, not a curated record. Lineage: Eukaryota; Metazoa; Mollusca; Cephalopoda; Octopoda; Octopodidae.
AACGUUACCCUUCGUUUCAGCUUCAUUCAUUGAGAGACUUUGUUUAAAUUCGAUUUUAAUUAGUUUUAAUACAAUAUUAUUGUUAUUUUCAUUAUCAAACCAUCUUAAGAUCUGUUUCUAUUUUGUGUUUAUCUUUACUAAAAAGGCAGUAACGAAAAUAUUGAAAAUUCCGUUAACAGUUCAUAUUUUGUUUUUUUCCUUUUUUUGCAAAGUUUUGGAUCCCGUUAUAAUCGCGUAAAUAUUUGUUGAUUAGGAAUGUGUUAGGUGAAAGUUCACUACAAAUUUUUUUUAAAAAUUAAACUUGGCAAUUGACAUUAAGAAGUUAGGCAACAGAAAAAUAAAAUUUACUCUGUUAUUAAAGUAACUCUAUUUUAAAGUGAAUUUAUUUACAUCUAGAAAAUUAACCUCGUUUACCCUCAUCGAAAUUUCCUGUACUUAAUACAAACUUCGAGCUAGUUUGAAAAAUGCAAAAAACUUCUCUGGAAAAAAAAAAUUUUUUUAGACGUUAGAUUCAACGUCUUUCGUAAGUCAUACACUCUCCUGAUACACAGAGUAUUUAACUUUAUGUACUCUUAAAUGUAUUAAAGAUAUAGAGUGAUAUAAAUGGAAAUGUCGGACAUAUUUCUACUUUUCAAUUUCCAGAAAGAGUGGCUCAGUAUUCUGGUUGGACAAGUUAAGAUGUGAAUGGCUUUGUGAAGAAAUAAGUUUACAAGAGCUUAAAUUAAGAAGAUGCUGAACAAAACAAAUAAUUUAACAACAUUCUGAUCCUCCAAAGAAAGCUUCAAAAGUAACUAAUAGGAGAUUCUCUUGAAAAUGGACAAAAUUUGGCAUCAUGGUGUUAUCAAGUACCUGCAGAAAAAUAAUUUAGACCCCCACCCCUGCUUUCAUUCAUAAGGACAUUCAUAUUGACAUGUUUGCUACAUUAUGGAAUGACACUCCAGCUUUAUCAACAGUGCAAAAGUAUGUAGCUGAAUUUAGGAGGAGAAGGGAGAGUCUUGAAGUUGACUCAAGGUUUGGAUGUCGUGCAACUGCCACCACCAAGGAAAUCAUUGAUUGUGUUCACCACAUUGUGAUGGAUGACAAGCGAUUGACUAUGCUAUUAGCAUAUCUUGUGAGAGAGUUGAGAAUAUUCUGUGCAACAAAUUUGAUAUGAUGAAAGUCUCUGCAAAGUCUUCCUACAAAAUGCACCAGGCUGACCACAUCACGGGGAAAAUCUGACAUUGUUUGAGGCAGAUCCAGCUGCUUUCCUUGGAUGUUUCCAAACCCAGGAGGAGUGUUUUGUUCAUCACCUUGAGCGAAAGACAAUACACCUGUUCCAAAGAAGGCCAAUGUCAUUUUAUCUUGCAGGGAAGAUGAUGGCUUGUUUUGGGGGAUCUAAAAGACAUUGUGCUUAUUGACUAUCUUCAAAAGGGCCAUACCAUCAAUGGAGAGUACUAUGCCAACUUGUUGAGGCAGUUACAAAAGGCUAUCAAAACCAAACGCUCAGGAAAACUGACAAAAGGCAUCUUGUUUCAUCAGGACAAGGCUCUAGCACACAAGUCCUUGGUUUCAAUGGCUGCUGUUCAUGACUGUGGCUUUGACCUGGUUGAUCACCCUCCCUAUUCUCUUGAUUUAGUCCCAUUAGACUAACAUGAAAAAACACUUCGCUGGGAACCAUUAUUGCACUGAUGAAGAAAUCAUAUCUUCCAUUUAUAACUUUUUUGACCAACAGGGUGAAAGCUUCUUCAUCAAAUGGAUCCAGGCACUGCAACACUAAUGGAGGAAGUGUGCAAACUGCAAAAGGGACUAUGUUGAAAAAUAAAUCUCAUUUGGUCACAUUCCACAAGAGUAUCUUGAUCAGCCUAUGAACUUUUCAGCUGACCCUUAUAUAAUUAAAUAAAGAGCUGAAGUUUUGAUUGUUGGUAUCUGACAACUGAAUCUAUGUAAAGAAACACUCCAAAGAAUGUAACACAGAUUUAGACAACAAUAAUUGCAGUGUAUAGCUGUUGCUUUCAAUUAAUCAUACUACUAAAGCUACUGUUAUUACCGCCACAAAAGCACCAAGCUGGUAGAAUUGUUACUGUUUUAGAUAAAAUACUUAGCAGCAGUUCUUCCAGUUCUUUACAUUCUGACUUCAGGUUGACUUUGUCUGUCAUCUUUUCAGGGUUGAUAAAGUACCAGUUGAGCACUGGGGUUGAUAUAAUUGACUACUCCCUUCUACUAAAACUGCUGGCUCAAAAAGACAUAUUACCACAUCAGUAUCUUUGUAAGUGACACUUUGUAAACAGAAAUUGUGUAAAAAGUACACCAGAGGGACUGUCUCUAUUCUUGGGUGGUGAACUUAUUCUAUCAUCCACUUUAUCACCCCCAUGAUUCCUGAAUGCAUUUAGUAUCAACCACUCUGUUGCAAACAUUUGGGAAUGGUCUCUAGUCUUGGGUCAGCUUUUUUCCAGCUUUCUUUAGACAAAUAAGAAGGAUGAAUAGGAAUUAAUGUUUUUUUUCAAUUUUUCAGUCAAUUUUAUUCAAAUUUAUUGCCUGACUUAGACAGGGCAGAUGACCAUAACUUACUUGUACAUUUCAUUUUUGGGUUGGAUGGUAUUUCUAAAACCAACCAUUUUACAGAGUGAACCAGGUGUGUUUUAUCAUCACACCAGCAUUAAAAAUAUUGUCAUACCUUUGACAACACUAAAGAGCCCUCUCAACGUUUUCUUUGCACAUUCUACAACCACUUCACAGACUGUAUUAGGUGCAUUUUAUCAUGGUACUAGCACUAAUGAGGUUACCUUGUACCCUACAAACAAAAGGGUCUUUACUGCACAACACUGAUAGCCUUUUGUUCCAAACAAUGUUAUCAACAGAGUGAGUAGGGAUAUAUAUGUAUAAUGCUUGUAUAUCAUAUAUCAUGUAUGAUGAAUAAUUAAAAAUAUAUAGUACUUGAUGCAGAUAUGUAGAGUAAUGUAUUUAUAAAGCAAUGCUGGUUACCAUUGAUUUUAUGGUUUGGACCUUCCGGCUUUGUCUCCAUAUGUUUUGAGAAAAUGAGAAAUAUCUUUAAAAAAAUGUAUUUUCUUGAACUUCUAUUUUUAAGGUAAAUAACUUUUCCUGAAGGGUUAUGAGUUAUAUAUCUCCAUAAUUAUGAUUGCAAAGUUGCUGAAAAAAAAAUACAUUGUAAAUUGUUUGAAGAUGAUAUGAAACCAAACAGAAUUAAAUGAUUAAAAUGAAUUAAACUUAGUCAAUACUGGGAGAGAGUAAUAAGGAUGGGGCAGGGGAAAUUAAAUAUAAAAAGGAAAAGUAAAUAUAAAAUUAAAGGUGAAUGAUAGAUAGGAAAAAAACUGGAAGAGAACAAGGAAAUAAAGUUUCAGAUGAAACAAUAUCAGGUAUUUGUGCAUAUAUGUGGUUUUGGUCUAGUGAAGACAGUAUUUUCCAGUUAAAUAAUAGGGUAUUUUUUUAAAAGUGUCUGCAUUUCUCAAAUAUGGUGUUUAAAUUGAAGCCUUGUUUAUGAAUGACUUUGAAAAUUCUCUACUUCUCUGCUGUGCACAAGUCACAUCUUUUACUUCUAAUUUGGCAAAUUCUGGAUCAUUCCAGGUUUUUUCAUUUACUAUAGUCCAAAACUGUUUCUUUUAGUUUACAAAUAUAGUCAGUCCUUCUCUAAUGUUCUUUUUAUUUAUGUUUAAAGGAAGAUUUGUAAAUGUUUUUUAAAUGUUUCUUGUUGUGCUUAUGUAAAUGUUUAUGCAUUUCAACUAGGUUGAAGUCUGGAGAAGUAACUUCUGCUUCAUAAAUAACUGUUUCUAAAAUGUUCAAUUUGUUAGUUGGACAUGUUUUAGGGUUUCUGCUCAAGUAUGCAACAAAGGUGUGACCUGUGCAUAGCAGAAAAGAGGGAAAUCCUCAAAAAUCUUCAUAAACAUCAGAUCAAAAAUAUUCAAGAAAUGUAGAUACUUUAAAAAAUACCAACUAUACAACUAGAGAACAUUACAUAUAUGGGCAGACACCUGAUAUUGUUUCACCUGAAACUUUCUUUUCUCUCUCGUCUUCUAGCUUUCCUCCUCCUAUCCUUCAUCCAUUUUUAUGGUUACUAUUCCUUCUUAUAACCAUCUUCCCAUUCCUCCACCCAUACUAUUCCCCUAAUAUUGAUAGGUAUAUCCAAACUUUCAGAUGCAUCAACACAAGCCAACAUGGAAAGAUUGUGUUAAAUUACAGUAAAAAAAAAAAAAUGCAGAGAAAACAAAAGAUAGAGAAACAGAUGACCCAAAUGUACACUCCAAGUAAAGAGCACAUACGGCAUGUUUCACUGUUUGAUACCUAGAAGGGGAAUACAGCAAGUUCAGCAGCAGGAUCACUAAAGAGACACUUAUGGAAAUGAUGAGGUGAAUGAAAGGACAUGCAGAAAAUAGUUUUCACAUUUCAAAAAGGGUGACGGCGCCCCAAUUAUGAGGAAUUGCAAGCUACUGUUGAUGAAAAUCCAACCAUUACAACUAGGGAAGUGAGCAAGGAGUUUAAUGAGAGUCAUAUGACCAUCUAUCGUGAAAUAAUAAGGCUUGUUACAGUCUCCAAGGUUGGAAGAUGGGUUCCACAAGAUCUGUCAAAAAAUCAAUCGCAAACAAUGUGUAGACUGCUGUCUCAUUGCAUUCUCUUGCACUUCACCUGUUUUAGACAGAAUCAUUACUGGAGAUGGGAAGUGGAUUCUUUACAAUAAUGUGAAGUGCAAAAGACAGUGGCUCGGCCAUAAUUCAAGGCCUAUCCAACAGCCACGAUGUAUUCUACAUCCAAAGAAGAUUCUUUUGAGUGUAUGGUGGGACAUGAGGGGGAAUGUUUAUUAUGAGCAAUUAGAUGACAAUCAAACAAUAACAGCUGAAGUUUACUACCAGCAGCUGAAACGUUUAAAAACAGUUUUGCAUGAAAAACAGCUUUUGUUGGUAAACAGAAAAGGAGUGAUCCUGCAGCAUGAUAAUGCCAGACCCCACAUUACAAGAGCAACUAAGAAUAUCCUAGAAGAAUUUAACAAAAACAUAAUAAAAAUUAAAUCACCAAAACCAACAACCAAAAAUUAAAAUCAUAUCUUUUUCUUUCAAAUUUCUGAAUAUGCUCCAUGUAAAGAAUCAACUUUCCCACAAAAUGAAGCUGAUCUGCGAUAUUGGAUAGGUGACAUAUUUAGCAAAAAUUGUGUACUCAUUCCUCAAUACAAACGAUAACUAUUUAAGUUUAAUUAAUACCAUUUAUGAUCAAAUGGAAGGAGAUAAAAGAAUUGAACAUUACCUCUACUAUGUCUCGGUUAGUUUGGCUGACUACUGUGUCAUUGUACUCAGUAUACUUCAGCAGUACUUUGUCCAUAUCAGAGCUAGCAUACUGGUACAAUUUGUUUCCACUUGUGAAGAUUAUCAGUGCAAUUUCACAGUCACACAGCACAGACAGUUCAUAAGCUUUU